RNAcentral lists this ribosomal RNA (854 nucleotides) under Klebsiella pneumoniae. Its description in RNAcentral is "bacterial SSU rRNA". It matches the Rfam family "Bacterial small subunit ribosomal RNA", at positions 8 to 853 of the family's 1533-position model. The record is from RNAcentral. Lineage: Bacteria; Pseudomonadati; Pseudomonadota; Gammaproteobacteria; Enterobacterales; Enterobacteriaceae.
AGAGUUUGAUCAUGGCUCAGAUUGAACGCUGGCGGCAGGCCUAACACAUGCAAGUCGAGCGGUAGCACAGAGAGCUUGCUCUCGGGUGACGAGCGGCGGACGGGUGAGUAAUGUCUGGGAAACUGCCUGAUGGAGGGGGAUAACUACUGGAAACGGUAGCUAAUACCGCAUAAUGUCGCAAGACCAAAGUGGGGGACCUUCGGGCCUCAUGCCAUCAGAUGUGCCCAGAUGGGAUUAGCUAGUAGGUGGGGUAACGGCUCACCUAGGCGACGAUCCCUAGCUGGUCUGAGAGGAUGACCAGCCACACUGGAACUGAGACACGGUCCAGACUCCUACGGGAGGCAGCAGUGGGGAAUAUUGCACAAUGGGCGCAAGCCUGAUGCAGCCAUGCCGCGUGUGUGAAGAAGGCCUUCGGGUUGUAAAGCACUUUCAGCGGGGAGGAAGGCGUUAAGGUUAAUAACCUUGGCGAUUGACGUUACCCGCAGAAGAAGCACCGGCUAACUCCGUGCCAGCAGCCGCGGUAAUACGGAGGGUGCAAGCGUUAAUCGGAAUUACUGGGCGUAAAGCGCACGCAGGCGGUCUGUCAAGUCGGAUGUGAAAUCCCCGGGCUCAACCUGGGAACUGCAUUCGAAACUGGCAGGCUAGAGUCUUGUAGAGGGGGGUAGAAUUCCAGGUGUAGCGGUGAAAUGCGUAGAGAUCUGGAGGAAUACCGGUGGCGAAGGCGGCCCCCUGGACAAAGACUGACGCUCAGGUGCGAAAGCGUGGGGAGCAAACAGGAUUAGAUACCCUGGUAGUCCACGCCGUAAACGAUGUCGAUUUGGAGGUUGUGCCCUUGAGGCGUGGCUUCCGGAGCU